Molecule: transfer-messenger RNA, 357 nt
Filed under: Candidatus Rokuibacteriota bacterium
Lineage: Bacteria; Candidatus Rokuibacteriota
Description: Candidatus Rokubacteria bacterium (sediment metagenome) transfer-messenger RNA
Rfam family: transfer-messenger RNA
About the family: Bacterial tmRNA, also known as 10Sa RNA or SsrA, is named for its dual tRNA and mRNA-like properties. Its role is to liberate the mRNA from a stalled ribosome. To accomplish this part of the tmRNA is used as a reading frame that ends in a translation stop signal.
Source: RNAcentral
GGGGGCGACAGGUUUCGACGGGGAUCAGUGAGGUCCAGGCUGCGUCUCGAGGUUUCUCUCCCCUCGUUAAAAAGAGAGAACGGUAUAGCUGCCGACACUCAGCUAGCCCUGGCGGCCUAACAACCGCUAGCGUCGGCCAGAUCCGGUCACCGGGGUCUGGGAACCGGCGUCAUAUACCGGUGGCUGGCUCCGAACCUGGCCUCAGGGGACGAGCGAGAUUGAUGAGGCUGGUCUCGCGGUUCUCCUGCCGGAUGGAGGGCCGAGGGACGAGAGCGCAGCAAGAUAAACCGGCUAUCGGCGUAGACGCCUGGUGCUGAGGGUCUUCGGACGUGGGUUCGAUUCCCACCGCCUCCACCA